This 389-nucleotide ribosomal RNA is filed under the name uncultured bacterium. Its description in RNAcentral is "bacterial SSU rRNA". It matches the Rfam family "Bacterial small subunit ribosomal RNA", at positions 28 to 417 of the family's 1533-position model. The record is from RNAcentral.
GACGAACGCUGGCGGCGUGCUUAACACAUGCAAGUCGAGCGGUAAGGCCCUUUCGGGGGUACGACGAGCGGCGAACGGGUGAGUAACACGUGGGUGACCUGCCCUUAGCUCUGGGAUAAGCCUGGGAAACUGGGUCUAAUACCGGAUAUGACUCCAUAACGCAUGUUGUGGGGUGGAAAGCCUUGUGCGGCUAGGGAUGGGCCCGCGGCCUAUCAGCUUGUUGGGUGGGGUGAUGGCCACCAAGGCGACGACGGGUAGCCGGCCUGAGAGGGCGAUCGGCCACACUGGGGACUGAGACACGGCCCAGACUCCUACGGGAGGCAGCAGUGGGGAAUCUUGCGCAAUGGGCGAAAGCCUGACGCAGCGACGCCGCGUGGGGAUGACGGCCU